Molecule: long non-coding RNA, 1862 nt
Filed under: Homo sapiens (human)
Lineage: Eukaryota; Metazoa; Chordata; Mammalia; Primates; Hominidae
Description: non-protein coding lnc-MPLKIP-3:2
Source: RNAcentral
AGAAGCAAUAGGAGAUAUAUCUCUUAUUACAUUAAGUCUCCUAUUGCUUCUGUUUCUCUGGAGAACUCUAAUACAUAAAAGAUUAUGAUUAGAAUUAUGCUUGAAGAAGGUUAAUCUUAUAAUGGCAUGCAGAGCGGAGCUGGGCAAGGCCAGAGGCUAAAUAUGGAGCCAGAAAGAUACUGCAGAAAGUGAGCAAAAAGGAUGAGUGGAUGGCCUGGGGUGGAAUCCGUGAAAAAGGGCAGAUUGUCAGUCUCAGGAAAUCAACAGGACUGAGUUCUAACUUCAGCUGGGCUACUAUGCCCUGGGGAAUCAGAAGAUUCUCCCUAACAUUGGAGUCCAAAGAAGAGGAGCCACCAUCUCCUUAACUACAAAACAACUGAGAGAAGAAAUGUCUCCCUUUAGUGCCAGUGAAGAGUUUUGCUUCUCUAGAACAACUGUUUAUUUUUGAUCUUAUGAAACGCGUGACACUUGUAACUGAUUUGCCUUCUUUUUGCUUGCUGCUAGAAAUCUCAGAACCAAAUUCGAGGUCAUUUCUGAAUGUGCUGGACUACACAGCAUGAAUUCUGUGUCCUCUCACCUCAUUCAUAGAUACAUUUUUUUAUUCCUACCCAUCUUUUCCUUUCCCCAGAUUUUCCUAUUGCUCUUUUAUCAUCUUGAGUAAAGAAGGUUAAACUAUGAAUAAAAAGUACAAUCUCAAUGACGAGUCAGGGAAAAGUAAGUUUUGGACUUCCAUUUAGAGCCAUUUAUAGGUCAGCAAUCUUUUGUCUCUGUGUCUUCUUUCUGCCCUGAACAACCAAGGCAUCCUAGUCAGUCUCUCUUCAUCUGCAUACCACUUUAAAGAGCCCAGGGGUCUUCCAAGUACAGUCACUACUAAGAAAAUGUCUUCAGUAAAUUUUUUUUUUUUUUUUUUGAGAUGGAGUCUCGCUCUGUCGCCCAGGCUGGAAUGUAGUGGCACGAUCUCAGCUCACUGCAAGCUCUGCCUCCCGGGUUCACGCCAUCCUCCUGCCUCAGCCUCCCAAGUAGCUGAGACUACAGGCACCUGCCACCAUGCCCGGCUAAUUUUUUUUGUAUUUUUAGUAGAGACGGGGUUUCACUGUAUUAGCCAGGAUGGUCUUAAUCUCCUGACCUCAUGAUCCGCCCGCCUCGGCCUCCCAAAGUGCUGGGAUUACAGGCGUGAGCCCCCGCGCCCAGCCUUCAGUAAAAUUUUAAUGCAUGUUGCUUAUCAUUCUUUGUAUUGUAAGCACCAAUCCUUAAUCUGUGCUGUGGUUUUUGUUCAGAAACAUUUCUUUAAAAAAAUUUCCCCAGACGCUCAGCCUUCAUAUUCUAAUCUUUAUUAUUCUGAACUACCUACAAAGCUAAAUAUACCUUGUCUACAUGCAGUGCUUAUGUAACAAUGGUGCUUAUUUUGUUUUACAUUGCUUCAACCUCUGACCAGAAACUUAGAGGACAGAAUGCCCUGCUUUUACAAAAAAUGUGGUGACCACAACGGUAACCUUAUCUAAUUGAGACCAUUUUAGGAAGGAGGGGAGGAGAUAUUUUUACUGCAAAGACUGAGUCAUAAGCCUUCAUUUUUUACCCUGGGUUGUGCAGAAACUUUAAACUUUCUAUAUUAUUUCAUUUCUUCCAUACCAGGACAUUUAUUUCCUAUUCAGUGACAAUCUUGAUGUCUUCAUCCUUCAAACUGCUCUCUAACAUAGUUUCAAAAUCCAAGCAUUAAACAUUAUUAAUGCUCAGGGGAUGAAUAUGUUCAUUACCUUUACUGUAGUGAUGAUUUCCUAUGGCAAAAUGUUAAAUGAUGUAAAGAUAAAAAUAAUUAUCAUAGUUAUUAAUCAUAGCAAUAAAACUGGACUACCUAAAGCACA